RNAcentral lists this ribosomal RNA (497 nucleotides) under uncultured bacterium. RNAcentral describes it as "partial 16S ribosomal RNA". It matches the Rfam family "Bacterial small subunit ribosomal RNA", at positions 28 to 507 of the family's 1533-position model. The record is from RNAcentral.
GAUGAACGCUGGCGGCGUGCCUAAUACAUGCAAGUCGAGCGAACAGACGAGGAGCUUGCUCCUCUGACGUUAGCGGCGGACGGGUGAGUAACACGUGGAUAACCUACCUAUAAGACUGGGAUAACUUCGGGAAACCGGAGCUAAUACCGGAUAAUAUAUUGAACCGCAUGGUUCAAUAGUGAAAGACGGUUUUGCUGUCACUUAUAGAUGGAUCCGCGCCGCAUUAGCUAGUUGGUAAGGUAACGGCUUACCAAGGCAACGAUGCGUAGCCGACCUGAGAGGGUGAUCGGCCACACUGGAACUGAGACACGGUCCAGACUCCUACGGGAGGCAGUAGUAGGGAAUCUUCCGCAAUGGGCGAAAGCUUGACGGAGCAACGCCGCGUGAGUGAUGAAGGUCUUCGGAUCGUAAAACUCUGUUAUUAGGGAAGAACAAAUGUGUAAGUAACUAUGCACGUCUUGACGGUACCUAAUCAGAAAGCCACGGCUAACUACGUG